CUUUUGGCAGUUCAAUUUCCAAUAGCACAAGUAUCAGUUUUGGUAAAGCCAGAGUACAUAUUUCUUGUAUUUCCUUCUAGGAUAAGGUAAUAAUAAUCCACGCGCUCAGGAAACAGGUAAUUCAGUAAGCUGUUAUUGAUACGAACGGAGACGAUACGCGGAUGUGCAAAGCUUUUGGAGGCUUGCGGCAUUCGAAAUUAAUUAAUGUCUGCUGACAGAAUCACCGGUUUCUAGAGUUGAAACUCUUAUAAAACCUGCAUAACGUGAAUGUAGUAUUACCAAUAUCAUUAAGUUUCCAGCCAAAAAACUUGUACACUUUACAUCAAUCCUUAAGCACUCUCUCCCAUCUUGACCUUUGCAAAAUGCUUGCAAAGAGCAUAGUAUUGAUUAGCGUAUGUAUUGCGGUUGCCCUCGCCAUCCGCUCGGAUCCCAAGCCGGGCGAUGCCGAAAGCACCAAAGUUGCCAACGAUGCCCUCUUUGACCCAUCAUGUAAUCCUCCUUCGUGCUUUCCUGAAUAUUCCCACUGCGGUGCCAGGAUGGCCAAGGGAAAAGUCAUUGUUAAGAGUUACCAAAGAGAACUUCAGCGUGAAGGAACCCUUUAUAUUCUGAAGGUCGACCUGGAAAUGCCGCCCUCGGGUUCCCACAAAACCGAAUUAAUCCGUGGCAAAACCAUGGAAGUGUUCAAGCCCAAGGGAAGAGCAUCACCCACUGUGAAAAAGAAUCCUUGCGACAAUUAAUCAUCACAAAGUUUACUGUAGGAUAAGGAAUAAAUAUAUAGUAAAAUUUUCUGAUUUCUGGUACAACUACUUAUGGCCAAUUUGUCUUACAACUGUAUGUGCAACGUAUUACAGUGCGUGCCGUUUUUAAUAAUCCACUCCAGCCUUUAAAGUACGAGUGCGUAGGGGGUGGAGGUUUGAUAGUGCAUGGUAAUAAAAAUGCGGGGUGUGGUAUUAGGAAAAGCAAAUUUAUAUUGCAAAUG
Long non-coding RNA from Paramacrobiotus metropolitanus, 979 nucleotides. RefSeq lists it as uncharacterized. The transcript has 2 exons. The record is from RefSeq and is a predicted model, not a curated record. Lineage: Eukaryota; Metazoa; Tardigrada; Eutardigrada; Parachela; Macrobiotidae.